This 23-nucleotide non-coding RNA is filed under the name Bombyx mori (domestic silkworm). Lineage: Eukaryota; Metazoa; Arthropoda; Insecta; Lepidoptera; Bombycidae. The record is from RNAcentral. RNAcentral also lists the same sequence under 5 other names.
GCGGGAGUAACUAUGACUCUCUU